AUUGAACGCUGGCGGAAUGCUUUACACAUGCAAGUCGAACGGCAGCACGGACUUCGGUCUGGUGGCGAGUGGCGAACGGGUGAGUAAUGUAUCGGAACGUGCCCAGUCGUGGGGGAUAACGUAGUGAAAAUUACGCUAAUACCGCAUACGAUCUAUGGAUGAAAGCGGGGGAUCGCAAGACCUCGCGCGAUUGGAGCGGCCGAUAUCAGAUUAGGUAGUUGGUGGGGUAAAGGCCCACCAAGCCAACGAUCUGUAGCUGGUCUGAGAGGACGACCAGCCACACUGGAACCGAGACACGGUCCAGACUCCUACGGGAGGCAGCAGUGGGAAAUUUUGGACAAUGGGCGAAAGCCUGAUCCAGCCAUUCCGCGUGCAGGAUGAAGGCCCUCGGGUCGUAAACUGCUUUUGUACAGAACGAAAAGGUUUCUACUAAUACUAGGAGCUCAUGACGGUACUGUAAGAAUAAGCACCGGCUAACUCCGUGCCAGCAGCCGCAGUAA
RNAcentral lists this ribosomal RNA (500 nucleotides) under uncultured bacterium. RNAcentral describes it as "partial 16S ribosomal RNA". It matches the Rfam family "Bacterial small subunit ribosomal RNA", at positions 30 to 523 of the family's 1533-position model. The record is from RNAcentral.